AAAGUUGAAGUGAAAUUUGAAAUUUGAAAUUUGAAGUUUUUGAAAUUUGAAAUUUAAAAUUUAAAAUUUGAAGUUUUUGAAAUUUGAAAUUUGAAAUUUAAAAUUUGAAAUUUAAAAUCAAAAUUAAAUUUGAAUUUUAAAAUUUUAAAAUUUGAAAUCUAAAAUUUUAUGUUGAAAUUUAAAAUUUAAAAAUUGAUACAUCUUUGGGAGCCCAAAAUGGUGGAAUUUUUUUCCUUUGGUUAAAGUGGAUUGUAAGUUUACUCCAUUUUUUGGAGUAUAGUAUAACUAUACUCCAAAAAUUACGUCAUUUUUUUUUCUUCCAAACGCUUUAUAGGAUUAUUUUCCUGCCAGCGUAGCAUAGUUUAACUAUGCUACGUUUUUAGAGGCAUCCAAACGGGGCCUUACUGGGUUUAAAAUAAGGGUUAAUUUUAUAUGGGUCCUGCAAAGGUAUCAACAAUAAAUAUAUUCCUACAAAACUUAAGUUAUAAUAUUUAUUCCUUCAAAAGUUCUCGCCGUGGCACGUGUGGUAUGUCUCAUUUUUACCAUAACUAGGGGUCUCGCCUUCAACGUCGCUGUUGCCGUAGGUCUCGUUGUUGUCAUAGAUAAAAAAGGAGAUGAUGAGGAAAUUGACAGUGGCUUAACAUUGAAAUACUAUUGAUUAUUUAAAUUUUGAUAACAAAAUGAUAUAUUUGCAAGACGAAAGAAUUUUGGAGGAAUAAAUAUGAUAACUUAUAUUUUGUAAAAAUAUAUUUGCUAUGCAAUUAUCCUCUAACACAAAUUAUUAUAGUUACAAUUAUCCCUCAAAACAAAGUAUAGUUACGAACGGAUUUAAUUUACUACGAAUUAAACAAUGAAUAUUUACGGCCAAAAAUAUAUUCCCGUAGCCAAACGCGCACCGGUGGUAAACCCACGUGGAAACCAACUCGAUCAGUGACAAAUUUAGAAGAGAGAGAGGGAGAGGGAGAAAGCUUCCCCAUAGAGAGAGAGUGUGNAUGGCGGAGAGGGAGGAGGAGGAGGCGUCCACGUCGGUGCCGCUGAGCCAGGGCGCGGAUCUCGAGGCGCCGCCCCCGCCGAGCUCCCCCAACUCCUCCACUCGCAAGGUUCGGAUCCCGAUCCCUCCCUCCGAUCUCGCCGCAUUUUUUGUUGCCCUAAUCCCAUGAUCCCAUCCCUUUCGCCCACCCAGAUCCGUUUCCUGUUUGUUUUCUGUUGUUGUUGUUGUUGUUGUUGUUGAUGAUGAUGGUGAUGAUGAUGAUGAUGAUUUCGCAUGGGUAAUUUGGAUGUGAUAGUGUGUGUCAUCGAUCUCUUCCGUUGCGGUGGCGAUCGCCAAUUUUCAUGUGAUGAUCGCAUAUAUUGGACGAUUUGAGCUGUGGAUUCAGAGAUCGAGCGAGCGAGCGAGCGAGCGAUCUAGGGUUUGCGAAUUUGGGUUGCGUUGAUAACUAUACCUGCAAUUUGAUCCAAUUUUCAAUCGUGCGAUUUGAUUCGAUCUGUGUAAUGCAAUCUAGGGUUCACAAUUUUGAUGCGAUGUGACUUGGCGUAGAUCUUGAAGAAAGGAAGUGUUUGAUGCAAUGCACUUAACUACCCUGUGGUGUAGCACAUUUUCACUUUGCCACUCCGUGGUUCAAAAAGUUGCACUUAACUCUAUCCCUGGAUACUAUUUUUGUUUCAACGAAAAAAUCUAUUGUCAAAUGGGGUAGUAAAGUAAAAUGGUAAAUAAUACAACGGGAUAGUGAAGUAUAAUUUUUUGGAAUCACGGGGUAGCAAAGUGAAAAUGCGCUAAUUAUCACAAGGGACAUAUUGAAGUUUACCCCAAAAAAAAAAAAAAAAAAAGUUCUGAAACUUAGUGUAGGAUUGGGAUGUAGGAACGGGCUCAAAAGCAGAAGCUCAAAUUAGUGCUUCUGCUUCACCGGUUCAAGGAUUUUAGUAUAGUGCUUCUUCUAAUAACACUGCUCGAACAUCAAUCCGUUGAAUAGCACUUCACCCUACACCAGGACUAAACAGGCCGAAUAUAACUUAGUAACGACUGCGUCGUUGCUUAAUCAGCAUUAUAAGAGAAUAUUGCACAACUUAGGAGAAGUACAGGGAAUUCGACCAUUUCUAUUAUAGUUACACUGAAAGGGAAAUAUCAUAGGGAGUAAAAACUUAGUGCAAAUGAACCUGAAGGACCAUGCUUGUUAAAUAAGACUGAAAAAUCUGCGGAAAAAAAAACUUCUUGCAACUGUGUUGAUCACUUUAGAAAACUGCUAUAAGCCGAGCUACUUGCUGGAAAAGCAAGAUUGCGAAAGAGUGAACUCUAAAAUCUAGCGCCAAAUGACGGGAGACUGUGAGAUCAUCAGGAGGAAGGAUCCCGCAAGCCUUUGAAGGGUGCUACGGAAUGGGCUCACUGUCACAAAGUCAUGUAGGUUGGAUCCAAAGGUCUUCCAAAGUUAGAAUAUUGGAAAUUGACUAAAACCUUGUCGCUUAUCAUUAAAAUGUUGUGUAUUCGCAUGUAUAGAUAUAAGUUUAAGGCCUAGACAAAAGGUAUUAAAGGUAAACCCACGUCAUUUGCCUGCAACUUCUUGUAAUGAGUCAGCUUAGAUAAAUUGGCCGCAUUUCAUGCGCAUACCUGUCUUUCUUUUGUACCAACAAUUCAUGAAUCUGUAUAUGUAUGUGCGACCAGUUUCCUUAUAAUAGGCUGACUUGUUUUUGUACAGUAUUACUAAACAAAACCUCUUAACCAGGCAUGUUGUGCGGUUCUCCAGAGCUGGUUCUCAAGAAAAUUCAUGACCGGAUGGUACGCCAUCUUAAUGUUGCAAAAACAAAAAUAUAUUUGUGAUUGUUUUGUAUACCUAACUUCUUCUCUGUUCAUUUUGCAGUGUUGUUCUUUUUCCUGUUGCUGUCACAUUUUUCCUGACAUGGUGGUUUGUUCAGUUUGUUGAUGGUUUCUUCAGUCCUCUAUAUGCCAAGCUUGGUGUUGACAUAUUUGGUAAUUCUUGUUGUAAUUUUUUUUUGAUUUUUUCUGGUCAGAUGAAAGUUAUAUACGGAUACAUCCUCUUGUUCUGCUAAAUUGCUUUGCUUCUUGGAGUUGGUAGAACAUGCCUCGACAGGAGGAUAAGUGUUUGUCAUUUUAUAUCCUAUCUCAAUCAGUAGCUUUCUAGCUGAAAUGUUGAAAAGGGCUUCUUGCUGUUGGAUGAGCAUUACUAUGAUGUGCAGAGAAAAUUGAACUCACAAGAAAUUAGUAGUUGCCAUUAUUGAUUAAAACUUAAAGGUUUGGACAGGAAUUUUUGAGAAUCAUCAAAAGAAAAUGGUACUUAAUUUUCUCUAUGUUGAAGUAUAUUACUAAACUUAGUGGGCUUCCCUGGCGCAUAGAGAUGGAUUCUGCUGUGAAAUUGAGAUGAGUUUUCGUACUUAAUUUAAAAGAAGGCAUGCUAGUUUUAUCAUUUCUAGUUAUACAAUGAUCUUGCUUCAAGUUUUGGAAACAUUAUAGAACGGAUUGUGAUCUGACUCUGAUAAAAGGUAAGUCCUUUGGGUUCAUUUUCUGUUCAAAGCAAGAAUUUGGAAAAAAUUCUGCAUGAAACUUAGCGGCAAGAUCCUUGUGCACCACUUCUCCCUUUGUGGUGAAGCCGGCUGUAAUUGCACUAUUUCUGGAUGUCAUGCUAUUUGAAUGUGUAGACAGUUAAAUAUGUCAUAGAUCUUUAGGUAUGGUUGACAUUUUCUGCAGAACUUUCUCAUUUAGUUUCUAUUAUUACAUCCUGUGUUUAACAGGCCUUGGAUUUUUGACAUCUGUGGUAUUCAUAUUUCUUGUUGGGAUAUUUGCUUCUUCAUGGUUGGGCGCCACUGUUUUCUGGGUUGGAGAAUGGUUCAUAAAGAAAAUGCCCUUUAUGAAGCAUAUUUACUCAGCAUCAAAGCAAAUCAGCACGGCUAUUUCACCAGGUAACUCAUUUUGUAUCUAUACGCCCAUAAUAUGUAAAUCUUUGUUGACGAAAAUAAUCAAAAUGAUAUCUUGUUUGAGGUAAACAAGAUAUACAUGCAUGAAUAAGUAAGGCAUUUAUCCUUAUAUAUUUUCUAAUUAGCGACUCUUAUCUUAAUCCUUAGAAUGAUAAUUUAUUUUGGGAAUAAAAUCACUACCAAUAGUUAUACUUUGAUAUAAAACAGGCCUCAGUUUUGAUUCUAGCGGCUCCACUUUUACAUGCUUUUUUUUUUUUUUAUGUGCAGAUCAAAAUACCACAGCAUUUAAGGAGGUAGCUAUCAUACGCCAUCCACGGAUUGGUGAAUAUGCAUUUGGUUUCAUCACAUCAUCUGUGGUCCUUCAGGUACUUCGACUGAAAAUGUUAUUAUCUAUGUUGUUAUGAAUAUACGUUAUCUUUAGAUUGCUAGAGCAGCUAUUUUAUCUAGUCAGACUUGCUGUAAGGUCAAAUAGUCUUUCAAGAUAUAAACUUUACAAGGAUGUUUAAUCUCUUCUUUGAAGCUUUUUUUCCCCUCUUUUUUUGUUAUUUAUUGCAGAGUGAUAAAGGUGAUGAAGAGUUAUGUAGUGUUUACGUCCCAACAAACCAUCUAUAUAUUGGUGACAUAUUUUUGGUCAACUCUGAAGAGGUCAUUAGACCGAAUCUAUCCAUUCGAGAAGGCAUAGGUUGAUCCCCUUGAACCUUCUGAUUCUGCAUUGUCUUGUUCCUUUGUUGGCUUUCUUAUAAGUUAGUUGAAAUCUGUCUAAAUUGAUUACUGAAUUUUAUUCUGUAUUUUUGGAAUGCAAUUUUGUUGCUUUGGAGUUGGUGUUCAAGUUUGCUUCAUAUUGUGCUUUUAGAAUGCUUCUUUUCUUUUGGAAUAUGUUAGUUUACUUGAUCCAUGUCUUAUAAAUUUCAUGGUGGCUUUUUCAAUUACUAUAAUUAACAAUGUUUAAACUAUGUUGGGAUAUAUCAUAAAUUAUUUGUGGAUCCAUUCCUCUUUGAAUUAUUAUUCCUUUGCAUUUCCUCUUUUCUUUUUUUUCUGUUUGUCAAUCAGUUUUUUAGUCCACAAAAUCUUACUUUUUUAUAUGCGGUAUAUUUCAGUUGGCCAUGUUUACUACAGUUUAAUGGAAUUUGAGCAAAUCAUUGAGAAAAUUUUUGAGUUCUAUCGCAUCAUCUAUACUCUGUUUACUUAGUUCGUAGCCCCAUAUGUUGGUGGGACAAAUAUAAUCUUAUGCAGAUUAUCUUAGUUGUUCACUAGAUUAAUAUUUUCUUUAAGCACUUCUUUUUUGUCAGCUUUACUAUAUCUUAUCUGGAAACUUCUAAUGUCAUAAAUGCAACAUUUGUAAACCUAGUCAUUUUAGCUGUUUAACUAUGUCUAAUAAUCUAUUUUUAUUUGAUGAAAUGCUUUUCUUAAUGUUUUGUGCUCUUCAGAGAUUAUUGUGUCUGGGGGGAUGACUAUGCCACAAGCGAUUGCUCCUCUCGAGCGGGCUUCUCAUAAGAAUCAGAGUAUCCGCCUGGACCGAAUCGCAUAAAGCUUUCUCACUCUCUCAAUCUACAAAUGAGGUAUGUCUCACUAGCGCUUCUUAUCCCUUCAAACUUACAUAUAUGUCCCCAUAAAAUCUGAAUUUUCAUACAUAUGACUCUUGCAAUGUAGUUUCGUACGAAAAUAGUGUUAUCUUAAGCUCGGGGUCAUCGAAUCGAUUGGGGGAAGUUGGUUUCAAGGGUUAUUUUUAACGAGUAUAUGAUAAAAUUAGGCUUUUUCAUGGCAUAAAUGAAAAAACAAAAAAAAAAUCUGAUUUUGCUGGGAUGACUUGCAAUGCCAAAGAGAGGUUGGUCUCUCUGAGCUUUUCACUAUAGGACGAUUUGUUUUGUAUUUAUUAUUAUAUCUCCUUUUUUGUGAUGCAGGUUAAGUUGGGUUACAGGACCAAAACAUCGAUGCUCUGAGUUAUUUAAAUCGGUGUGCAACUUCUGUGCUUUAAUAUGUAGAUAUUAAACCUUUCUAGGCUUAAGGGUGAAGGAACAAAUGUGGCUGAGAAAGAUUUUUUAUUUAUUCAAGUUCGUAUAGUGGAAUACAGCAUGGUAAGACAUACAUACAAUUCUAUAGGUUUAUGUGUAUACAUCCACAUCCUAAUGUUUCUACCCAGUAGAGAAUAUUGUGUUCUCGUUGAAUUCAAUAAACAUUUUAUAUGUAUAACUAAAUGAAAAGUGCUAGAGUUUCUCAUCUUUCAUUGUUAACAGGCUUGGUUAAAUUAACUGUAUUCUAUUUGGCUUUUUCCUGAUUAUGUUACAGCUAAAUAAUGGCUCCUUAAUUUGUCGAAUUGCUCCCUCUCUCUCUCUCUCUCUCUCUCUCUCUCAUAUCCAUUUGCUUCGAAUUACGUCAAGUUAUUGUUGGUUUAAUGAUUCAGUGUUGAAGAGAAACUGUACAGAAAUUUUGAACCAAAGAUUUGAGGGUAUUAGUGUGUGUAAUUUUCAUAGAUUUCCCCAGAAACAAAAAAGAAGAAAAAGAAGCAAACAACUGCAAACCUGCAACUGGGCCAGAGGUGGACGUACAAAUGCAAACAGAACCAGUUCCAGGUCACACCUUAUCUUCUAUUGUUUCGCAAAUUGAAACUUCAUUGCUUUUUAGUUCCAACUUCAUUUCAACUAUGCUUUCCAGCAGCUAGUGAGACAAAAGUCGAACCCCAUGUACUGGCGGCAGCGAUGACUAGGUAACAAACCCUUUUGUAUUCAGCGUAUUCACGCAAAUUUGUGAAGUUGGAUGCGGCCGACAUGCUGCGGCUGCAGAAACCUUGUAUUCAGCGUAUUCACGCAAAUUUGUGAAGUUGGAUGCGGCCGCCGCUGCUGCGGCUGCAGAAACCUUAGCAGUUUCGUCGGCGGAUUCACAUUUGUCAAGCAUCUUUGCUGCUCCCACUGCUCCCUGGUGAAUUUGGCAUAGCCAAAUUGCUCUGGAUUCUUAAUUCCUCCACUAGUUCCCAGCAAAUUCAAGGGAGUCCACCCCUAAAUUCCCCAUUAUUAAGAUCUCGCAAUGUAGCAUCAUCCCUACUUACCCUACAUUGCUUUCAGUACAUAUUCAACAACCAAAUACUUUCCACAUUUCACUUGUGGUAAAGCAUUCGGCGUCGAUGCAUACGAAGUUAAACUUCGUGAAUCACACACGGCCGUUCGUGCUUCCCCAUGCGCGGAAACAGGAACUUUCGCCAAUAUCACGAAGAUCAUUUUGUACCAAACAGGCCUCCCACAAAUACCCAUCACCACAUUCCCCUAGAACACAAAAAAGGUAACACACUUAAAGGUGCAACAGUCCCGCAAUUAUCGCAGAAAUCCACAUAAACAGGGAAACAAAAAAGAAAAGCCAAAUUAUGCUGUUGUUCUAAUCCCGCAUCCAAUGUUCUUGGUGAUAACAUAAAGUACAAGGUGGAGAAAGAACAGGAAAGAAGAUAGGGAGAGCCUUCAACAUUGAUCUCACAUGUUUACUUUCAGAGGGAUCUCUAAAUACUCUGCAGUUGGGAGAAGGAAAUCCGAAUGACGGAUCUGUCGAGGGAGGUCGCAUGCUUGCAAACUAGGGUUUCAGUCGCUUGCUCCUCGUUCUCGAACAAAACUAGGGCUUGCUUCUUCCCGUUCACCUCGAAGAGCUUGCUGUUGACUAUGGUGCCGUGCUCACUUAGGUGGGCAAUGACGUCAUCCUCCGUGAUUUCUUGCGGGAGGGCGGAAACAUGGAUCAUCUUCGUCGGGGCGCAGCAAUAUCGGUAGUUCUUUGCCGCGUUAUUGUUGCUAAAUCGGUUAAGGUUAGAAUUGGCAAAUUCACGGGUGUCGGGAGCAGGCGUGAUGUUCGGAUACUUGGAGAAAUUCACCUCUAUUUUCUUCCCAAAUAGCAUUGCUCCCUGCGGCAGGUAAUAAAGUUUGCUAUGAUUAUGAAGUCCAUUAACUAGGAAAUGACAACUUUGAAAGCUUGCUGAAUUUAGUAAAGGAAAAGAAGAGAAAAAGGCUAAAACUCAGAAACCCCUCUGGAAAUAUCAUGAUUUGCGCUUUAAGCAAUGUGUAGAUCACAAUAUCUCUAGGGGUUUUUUCUGUAUUUUUUCUCAAAACAAAAAAGGCAGCAUUCUCAGUAAUACUAGUUUAUUAGCGAUCAAGCUUAUGAUAUAACAGCAGAAAAGUACAAGGGCCAAAGCAAGCGAACCUUCAAGAAGUGUACAGCAAGUUCAGCCUGAAACCCAUCAGCCAUCUGAACAAGCGCAUGAUCCGGUUUAUUGCGAAGGAUCUUAAUUCUUAUAAUGUUGCCAUAUAAAGAAAACAAAUUGAAAAGCUUGUCCUCGUCAAUCUUCUGCACAAGUGUAAUGAAAAUAUCAAUAACUUUUUGAGUGAAGUGAAAUAACAAAAUUAUAGAACGAGGAUGUCAGGACUUACUUCAGUGUUCAAAUUAGUGGCUAAGAUUGUGCACCUGUCAUUGGUACCACUUAUUCCAGGAGGCAAUCCUCCACCAAAAGCAGCUGCAAUUGCUGCGGCAUUGCCCAUCUAGCAAUAAAGAUGAUUAAAUUUCAUGGAAAUGCUUUCAUAAAUUUUCCAAAAAGAUGGUAAUCAGGAAGCGACUAACGCCUAUUUAAUAAUUUGCACAAAUUUAACGUAUCUGAAACCAACAAAACCUUCGAGAGCUGUGCAGUUCAGAGAUACAAACCUGGCCAUACGCAACUGAUGCAAAAUAAAGUGGGGAAAAGGAGUCAGUGUUUCAGUAAUAAGUGACAAGCAAGGCAAUAAAGAUAGAAAGUCAAAGCAAGCACCUCUAGCACUAGGUCCUUGGAGCCCAUAUAAACCUCCAGCAUCACCAUAACCAGGCUAUAUUAAAAACAUAUAAUUGAAUAUCAUUAGCAUCUAAUAGACGAUCUCUCUUUUGCAGCAAAUAGGGCACCAACAGCAGACAAGGACAAAGAAAAGCAGCCUACCUGUGAGGGUCUACCUCGUUGUUCAGUGGGCAACGACGGGUUUGUGAAAUCUCUGAACAGAGAAAAUACACACAAAAAAGAAAAUAAGCAUAAACUAGAACAUAUGACGGGGAGAAACAUGCUAAUCUUGUCACUCAAGUUCCCUCAUAAUAAAUCUGGAGUAUCUUUUUCAUCUCUGUCAUUUCAAAUUUUAGUUUCACAAAAUAGAAAUAACGUGUAUUUAUGCAAAAAAUUAACAGUUACAAUUAAAGAAAAGUAUUGUAAUGAUCCAAAUGCCAUUGAUUUUGCUCCACAAUCCUAUUCACAUUUGGCAAUAACAGAGAAACAAUAAUCACCAUACUAAGUUGCAUGAUAAGUAACAUACCUAGACCGGUCAUUGUUGUAAUUGACUUGCAAUUCGUUGAGACUGGUUUGGAAAAGAAGAUAUUCACUGAGAUAUUCAGAAGAGAAAAAAGGCGAAAAUUUAAGUAAAAGAGAAUUACAAAGAACAUACUUCGAGAACUGUAUAUCUAGCUGACAACAUCCAUCAUAAAUAUUCCGCCCCUAUAGAAAGAAAUAGUCAUGUUAUUAAUAAGGAAAUAUAACACAAGCAUAAAAAUAUGCAGUCGAAUGCAAGUAACAUACUUGCAAAGCACUUCUCGCUUGUAUAGCACUCUGGCGUGAUUGAUACUGGAUAAGGGCUUGAAAACCUAUACAACAUCAAGUAAUAAAACUCCGGUAAGCUAACUAAUAGUCUUCCUUGACAAAUGCUGAACAAAAAGAAGAUUUUGUUAAUGCUUGCAUUAAAUGCAAUGCUCAAAUGAACUAAUUCAAAGUGAACAACCAAGAAAGAGAGAUUUUUUUAAUAAACACACAACCACAAAUCCACUAGACCAGUUGGUAAAUUUUGGCGUAUUAUUAAGACAGAGAGAUAUAUAGAGAGAGAUGACUUGAGGGUGCUGACCAGCUGACUUCUGAAAAGUGACGAUCUUCUCCACAAACCCAUGAGGAGAAAAGACUUGAUGCAGCACUUCCACUGUUAUGGGAUAGAGCAUGUGGUGAAUUGUUACUAAGAGGAUUCGAUUGGGUUGCGAAUCCUUGAGCCCAACAGCAGACCGUCCCAGAGAGAGAAGUGAGAGAAAGAGAGAGAAGAAUAAAUAGAGAGGCAUAUAGUGGGAAAAAGGAGAAGUAAUAAUAGAGAGAAGAUAUGAAUCUAAAACUACUUAAAGAAAAGUUAUGAGUAGAUAGGCAAAGAGUACUAUAAAGAGAGUUGGUAUUAAACUUCAACAAACUAUAGCCCAGACAUAUAAUUUAAAUAUCAGCAGUAUAGACACAUUCAUGGGAAGUUUUUUAUUAACUCAAAUUUGUCGAAACAUAUUUCUUAGAAUGUAGUGACAAAAAACAAUUGAAACUCCAGUUACAGAACACCAUUAUCUCACAGCAACAUAUCGCAAACGUUUUUGUCCUAUUCAGACCAGCAAGUCUUUUUUUUUCUCACUAACACAUAACAUUAUUACUUUAUAUAUAUAUAUAUAUAUAUAUAUAUAUAUAUAUAUAUAUAUAUAUAUAUCUCAUCUUAGCCCUUCCAAAUAAUAAUCUGGACAACAUGUCAAAAAUUACAUUGAGACUGUCCGCAAAACACCAAUUAGUCCUAACCAGCAAUCUCUGGAAGCAGUUUGUCCAAGAACAUAACAGCAGUGAGCAUCCCUACUGUAAGUAAGGCAGAAAGAGAUCAUAGAUUUUGUUCUUUAACUGCACUAACUAUAUGGUCAUAAAUAAUAAAAAAAGAUCAAUAGUGACAAAGAGAGAGAAAAAAAAAAGGGAAUGCUUACGCAAUCAGGUUUGUCAAAUUUGUUCUGUUUUUUACUGGUCUGAUGACAUUUUCUUCCAAUAUAGCACCCUUCUUGUUGCUCUUUUAGGUUUUGUCCUACACAUUCAUUACCAUUUAUCUCUACACUUUAGGUUAUCAUCAUGGUUUCAUGCCACACAAGACUGACAGUGGAUUACAACUAUGGUUUGGAUUAUCUCUACACUUUAGGUCAUCAUCAUUCACGUAUAUCAGUCACCUCCCGAUAAUCUCACAAUUUUGGUUACUUUGUUAUCUUCUUCUAUGUUUCUUUUUUAUUUUAUUACUUCUAUUCUUGAGCUUUAUUAAAAUUUUCCUCUAAAGUUUGGACUGACUAGUUCCUUUGAACCUAUCUACAGCAUACUUUUUACUUCACUUUUGUCAUGCAAAUAUUCAAUACCAUUAUCUAUGUCCAAUAGCCAAAUUUUUUUGUAUAUAUAGCUUCACAAAGGUGACAAAAAAUAAGUUUGUUAAAACCUCAUUUUUUGUAAAGCAUCCAAAAAUGUGUAAUAUAUCAGCUAACAUCACUUCCUGGACUUUCUAAAGCAGUCACCCACCACACAACAUACAUUCUGUUGUGGAAUAAUACAAUGACAGAUCUUCAUGACAACAAAAAGUAAACAAGAAAAUUAAAAACUACCUGAUCAGAUUUCCGUCCUUGCGAGUUUUGGUCAACAGUUGUCAAUUCCUGGUGAGAAGAAAAUUGAAGAUAAACAUUCCUUCCUCUGAAAUGGCAACAGAGAAACUCAUGUGAGUUGCCAGUUAGGAGAAUAAGAAUAAAAUUUAUAACAGUCAGACAUGGAUAGAAGUCAGACACGGAUAUGGGAGAGUAAUUAUAUAAAAAAGGAAAAUGAGAGAAUGUGAUGCCAAGUAUAUAAUCUUGUAAGACAAGAUGAAGUUCACAAGUGUACAAGAUGAAAUUCACAAAGGGCUAAAGGAAAAGGCAAAACCUCAUAGGAAAACUUUACUGUUACUCUUAGCUACAAGUACUCAUAAUAAGCUGGAAAGAAAAGUCUAAAACUUUUAAGUGAUACAAAAAAUCAUUAAGUGAAUCACUCUUUUACCUGACACUAGGUUGAACUGUAGUGUAGUAUUGCAAGACGUUUACAGCAGAAGCCACAUCAUGCAUCUGGAGAAGAGCCUGAGCACAGAAAGAUAUUUAAUAAAUACAGCAUACAGAAAAGGAUAAUGAAGAUAUUGAACAAGCAGUGGGGAACUGCAAUGAAGAAUAUAGUCAAAUACAAAGAGGGACAGAAUAGGACAGAAGAGAAGGGAAGAAAUAUGAAAGAAACAACGCGAAAAGAUAGGAAAAUAGCAGUCUACUGUGAUGUUCAGACGCAUAGAAAAGAAGAAACAAGAAAACAAGCUUUCGAUUGAGUUAUUUCCUUUCUCUCCCUUUCCCUUCACUUUAAAGAGUAGGUGAAAAAAAAAAGACCUUCUUUGGCAUUGCUGUUGUUUUCAUUUUUGUAAAUGUGAAUUACAUAUGAUUGUAUGCGCCGUUGUUGGUUAGCUUUCAAUGCAACUUGGCCAAGAUAAAGAAUGACAUAUUCUUUGAAAAACAAAGAAGCAGAAAAAAAAAAAAAAUACAAACAAGUUUUUCUUUUUGUUGCGAAACAAAGCCCAUAGAUGUAUUGGCUGCAAACACUCGGGUAUCCGUCCGCACCACUGUCGCGUGGAAUUUACAUUUAAAAAAAGCAAACUAAGAAAAUGACAUUGGUACCAAACUAAGUUCUUGCCAUUUAAGGGGAUUUUUCAUUCUCCUUUUCCAUCCAUUUCUCUUCCUCUUUCUCUUUUCAAGACUCAUUCACAGAUCGUAUACAAAUAAAUAAUUUUUUUAAGGGGAGAGAGAAACAAAGCAAAUGAAGAAUCAAUACCUGAUUUUUGGCUCGUAACAUUACAAGCUUUGUGACGGUGCCGAAUGGCUGAAACAACUGGAGAAGAUCACUCUAACCAACAGAAAAGAAGGGGAAAAAACUAAUCACAACUCCAAAAUCAUCAACACAAAAGAAAAAACUAGUCACAACUCCCAAAUCAUCAACAACAGAGCUUACUUACACCAAUUUUAAUCGGGAAAAAAAUAAAAAAUUACCUCCGAUAUCUCGUGCCCUACGUUCCGAACAUGAAUCACUUUGGAAGGCUCGCUCAUCCUCGCUUGUUUCUCUUCAACAAGACGAAGUACUUACCUACAAAAACCCUCAUCAUUUUGACAUUUUCGCGAUAAAAAUAACCAUAAAUUAAAAAAAAAUGGCGAAAAGAGCGGCGCAUUGAGAUCGAGAGCUACUCUACCCACGCGAUAACGCUCGAAACCCAAACAAAUCCAACAGAAACCAAAAAAAACGAGGAGAAAAUCCAUCCAUCAACACUACGAAUCAAACAAAUCACGUAAACACCCACACGAAAACACACGGGAACAAAAACGAACACCACAACUACCUUGAGAUGAGGCAGCUCGAAGGAUCUGGUUAGGGUUGCGCGACUGGAGCUCUGAGCAUGGGGGAAUUCUAGGGUUUUGCUCCAAUCGAUCGAUUUAGGGCUUCGAUUUGGGGGUGGUGGGGAGGGGACGAAGCGGCCGCGUGCCCUAGGUUGGAUCUCCUCUCCGUUUAUGUACUCUUGUUAUCUUCUUAGCUCGCGAGGUCGAGAGUUUUAUUGUUAAUAGGGAAAACUUCAAAUACCACCCCGAUAGUUUCAUAUUUUUUCACUUUAGUACCUUAUGAUUUAAAAUGUAUCAAUUUAGUAUUAUGUGGGAUGUGGUUUUAUUUUUAUCUUUUUAUUAUCGAUUCCACUAAUUUUUUUUAUUAAAUCAGUGACAAAGUUAAAACUAAAGGGUACUAAAGUGAAUAUUCGAUAAACCUAGGUAGGGUAUCUGAAGUUUUUUGUAUAUAAUUUAACGAAAUAUUAACGGAGAAGCUGACGAAAAGAUAAAAAUAAAACCACGGGACACUAACUUGAUACACUUUAAACUAUAGGGUACUAAAGUGAGAAAGUGCAAAACUACAGAUGAAGCGUGUUACGAUGCUCCGCAAAACACCAACAAAAAUUUCGUGGGGACGGUCCCAAUAGAGAUCUCAAUGGGUGCGGAUACCUGAAAUUUUUAUUCGAAUUCGAAUUCGAGCGGAACGCAUUUACUUAAUGUUAAACACAUAUAGUUUCAAAUACAGAAAUAAAAAUUGAAAAUACGAUGGAUUUGAAUUUGGCAUGGAUUUUCAUUGUACCCUAUCCGAACCCGAAUUAAUUUUUCAUUAUAAUAUAUAUAGAGAAAGCGAGAGUUGAGCUGGAAUACUAUUAAUAAUAUUUGGAUUAUUUUACUAUCAAUUUUUUAACCGUUAAAUCUACACUUUAAUCAAUUCUUUUCUAAAUCAUACUAUUCAACCAAUCACUCACUCAACCAACCAAUCACCCACUCAACCUCCUGGUCCACUACUAAACCCUAGGAAACCAUUAUUAUUCUAAUCUUAUAAUUUUUUUUCAUUCAAGGAUUAAAAAUUUAAUAGCGAAAAAGCCCAAAAAUACUAUUAAUAAUAUUCUGGCCCAAUUUUAUAUAUUUAUAUAUAUAUAUAUA
RNAcentral lists this long non-coding RNA (14241 nucleotides) under Ananas comosus (pineapple). RNAcentral's name for it is "long non-coding RNA (ACOM_LNC001609)". The record is from RNAcentral. Lineage: Eukaryota; Viridiplantae; Streptophyta; Magnoliopsida; Poales; Bromeliaceae.